Molecule: non-coding RNA, 27 nt
Filed under: Homo sapiens (human)
Lineage: Eukaryota; Metazoa; Chordata; Mammalia; Primates; Hominidae
Source: RNAcentral
UCUGAUUCUAGGAGGUGCUGCAGCAGG